ACGAACGCUGGCGGCGUGCUUAACACAUGCAAGUCGAACGGAAAGGCCCUGCUUUUGUGGGGUGCUCGAGUGGCGAACGGGUGAGUAACACGUGAGUAACCUGCCCUUGACUUUGGGAUAACUUCAGGAAACUGGGGCUAAUACCGGAUAGGAGCUCCUGCUGCAUGGUGGGGGUUGGAAAGUUUCGGCGGUUGGGGAUGGACUCGCGGCUUAUCAGCUUGUUGGUGGGGUAGUGGCUUACCAAGGCUUUGACGGGUAGCCGGCCUGAGAGGGUGACCGGCCACAUUGGGACUGAGAUACGGCCCAGACUCCUACGGGAGGCAGCAGUGGGGAAUAUUGCACAAUGGGCGGAAGCCUGAUGCAGCAACGCCGCGUGCGGGAUGACGGCCUUCGGGUUGUAAACCGCUUUCGCCUGUGACGAAGCGUGAGUGACGGUAAUGGGUAAAGAAGCAUCGGCUAACUACGUG
RNAcentral lists this ribosomal RNA (467 nucleotides) under uncultured bacterium. RNAcentral's name for it is "partial 16S ribosomal RNA". It matches the Rfam family "Bacterial small subunit ribosomal RNA", at positions 29 to 507 of the family's 1533-position model. The record is from RNAcentral.